AUGUUCCAUCAGGAACUCGUGUUUGUGAUAUAAAAUGCGCGCCUGAUAUCCUGCACCUGUGGUCCUCCGGCAGCCCAGGUGAGCCCAGGAGAACCUGGAGCCCAGCGAUGUCGGCCCCAGCUGGAGCCCCACCUGCCUGCACGCGGCUGGGAGUGGCUAUUGGGAGCCGGGCCGCCACCUUGGCGCAGACGCGCACCUAACGUCUUUGCGGGGCUCGCUGGGUCCGAGGUCGGAGGCUGGGAGUGUGGCUGCUGAAGGCUGUGGUGGACCCGGCUGUAUCGCGGAUUCUGGGCUAGAAAGCAGAUUUGGGAUCGCAGAUUGGGGGUUGCUGCUGGGUGGAGGUGGGAGGAGCCGCGGCUCAGGAGCUGGUAGUUGGGGAUCUGAGAAGUCACCAUCUUGAAGAAGUUCCUCCGCUUCGGAGCCCGGGGUCAAGGCAGAGCAGAACCUCGGGUCCUGAGCUCCAUAGACCCCCGUCUACACCGCGUCCGGGCACCGAAUGCGGAACCGCGGAGGAUGCACAGGGCGGCAGUCAGGGGUGACGCCGUGGAGAUGGAGCCGCCUGGCGCGCAGGAGAGGAGACCUGGACGCCCGGGACAAGCCGCACAGACCGAGUCUUGCUCUGUCACCCAGGCUGGAGUGAAAUGGAGUGAUCGCGGCUCACUACUUCCUAUGCCUCCCAGGAUUAAGUGAUUCUUCUGCAUCAACCUCCUGAGUAGCUGGGAUUACAGGUACCUGCCACCAUGCCUGGCUAAUUUUUGGAUUUCUACUAGACACAGUGUUUUCCAAUGUUGGUCAGACCAGUCUUGAACUCCUGACCUCAGGUGAUCCACACGCCUCCACCUCCUAAUAUAUUUGGCUUACAGGCGUGAGCCACCUUGCCUGGCCGGCUUGUAUCCUUGGUGAUCGCUUGGAUAUGGAGGCUGGAGGAGGAGGGGUGUCACACAGAUACCUCUCUUGGAUUACCACUGGGAUAUUAGGUGCAAGGCUCUAUUAUUCGUUCAAACCCUGAGAGCACCAACAAACACCUCGAGGUGGUGUGGAGCAACACGCCGUUUUAAUGAGCACCUGGGUGCAGGUGGGCUGAGGCCUAAAAUGGCGUCAGCCCCAAGUGAGGGCGAGGCAGGGUUUUCUAGAUUCCUGUAAAUGGGAAGUGUUCCAGUGUGACAUACUGCUACGUGGUACCUAGACGGCCUCUGUUUUGAUCUUCAGGGGGUCCUUGUCUUCUGGGCUGCCCUCUUCUGGCUUCUGCUCUCUUGCUGACCCACACUGUGGUACAAGUGGUCUUGUAUCUUGGGACUGGGUCUGAGGAGGGAGGAGUUAUCCCCCCAAGUUUGCA
Molecule: long non-coding RNA, 1336 nt
Filed under: Callithrix jacchus (white-tufted-ear marmoset)
Lineage: Eukaryota; Metazoa; Chordata; Mammalia; Primates; Cebidae
Description: lncRNA (ENSCJAG00000075481.1)
Source: RNAcentral